AGACCCGAAACCCGGUGAUCUAGCCAUGGGCAGGUUGAAGGUUGGGUAACACUAACUGGAGGACCGAACCGACUAAUGUUGAAAAAUUAGCGGAUGACUUGUGGCUGGGGGUGAAAGGCCAAUCAAACCGGGAGAUAGCUGGUUCUCCCCGAAAGCUAUUUAGGUAGCGCCUCGUGAAUUCAUCUCCGGGGGUAGAGCACUGUUUCGGCAAGGGGGUCAUCCCGACUUACCAACCCGAUGCAAACUGCGAAUACCGGAGAAUGUUAUCACGGGAGACACACGGCGGGUGCUAACGUCCGUCGUGAAGAGGGAAACAACCCAGACCGCCAGCUAAGGUCCCAAAGUCAUGGUUAAGUGGGAAACGAUGUGGGAAGGCCCAGACAGCCAGGAUGUUGGCUUAGAAGCAGCCAUCAUUUAAAGAAAGCGUAAUAGCUCACUGGUCGAGUCGGCCUGCGCGGAAGAUGUAACGGGGCUAAACCAUGCACCGAAGCUGCGGCAGCGACACUGUGUGUUGUUGGGUAGGGGAGCGUUCUGUAAGCCUGUGAAGGUGUGCUGUGAGGCAUGCUGGAGGUAUCAGAAGUGCGAAUGCUGACAUAAGUAACGAUAAAGCGGGUGAAAAGCCCGCUCGCCGGAAGACCAAGGGUUCCUGUCCAACGUUAAUCGGGGCAGGGUGAGUCGACCCCUAAGGCGAGGCCGAAAGGCGUAGUCGAUGGGAAACAGGUUAAUAUUCCUGUACUUGGUGUUACUGCGAAGGGGGGACGGAGAAGGCUAUGUUGGCCGGGC
This 783-nucleotide ribosomal RNA is filed under the name Escherichia coli. Its description in RNAcentral is "partial 23S ribosomal RNA". It matches the Rfam family "Bacterial large subunit ribosomal RNA", at positions 711 to 1496 of the family's 2925-position model. RNAcentral also lists the same sequence under 1 other name. The record is from RNAcentral. Lineage: Bacteria; Pseudomonadati; Pseudomonadota; Gammaproteobacteria; Enterobacterales; Enterobacteriaceae.